ACGUAGGUGGCAAGCGUUGUCCGGAAUUACUGGGUGUAAAGGGAGCGUAGGCGGGCAGGCAAGUCAGGCGUGAAAUAUAUCGGCUCAACCGGUAACGGCGCUUGAAACUGCAGGUCUUGAGUGAAGUAGAGGUUGGCGGAAUUCCUAGUGUAGCGGUGAAAUGCGUAGAUAUUAGGAGGAACACCAGUGGCGAAGGCGGCCAACUGGGCUUUUACUGACGCUGAGGCUCGAAAGUGUGGGGAGCAAACAG
Molecule: ribosomal RNA, 250 nt
Filed under: uncultured bacterium
Lineage: Bacteria
Description: partial 16S ribosomal RNA
Rfam family: Bacterial small subunit ribosomal RNA
Source: RNAcentral